This 465-nucleotide ribosomal RNA is filed under the name Vreelandella stevensii. RNAcentral's name for it is "partial 16S ribosomal RNA". It matches the Rfam family "Bacterial small subunit ribosomal RNA", at positions 338 to 795 of the family's 1533-position model. Lineage: Bacteria; Pseudomonadati; Pseudomonadota; Gammaproteobacteria; Oceanospirillales; Halomonadaceae. The record is from RNAcentral.
CCUACGGGCGGCAGCAGUGGGGAAUAUUGGACAAUGGGGGGAACCCUGAUCCAGCCAUGCCGCGUGUGUGAAGAAGGCCCUCGGGUUGUAAAGCACUUUCAGUGAGGAAGAACGCCUGGUGGUUAAUACCCAUCAGGAAAGACAUCACUCACAGAAGAAGCACCGGCUAACUCCGUGCCAGCAGCCGCGGUAAUACGGAGGGUGCGAGAGUUAAUCGGAAUUACUGGGCGUAAAGCGCGCGUAGGUGGCUUGAUAAGCCGGUUGUGAAAGCCCCGGGCUCAACCUGGGAACGGCAUCCGGAACUGUCAAGCUAGAGUGCAGGAGAGGAAGGUAGAAUUCCCGGUGUAGCGGUGAAAUGCGUAGAGAUCGGGAGGAAUACCAGUGGCGAAGGCGGCCUUCUGGACUGACACUGACACUGAGGUGCGAAAGCGUGGGUAGCAAACAGGAUUAGAUACCCUGGUAGUC